AGUGAACGCUGGCGGUCUGCCUAACACAUGCAAGUCGAACGGCAGCACAGUAAGCGCUUGCUCUUACGGGUGGCGGGUGGCGGACGGGUGAGGAAUACAUCGGCAUCUUCUUUUUCGGGGGGGAUAUCGUAGGGCAACUUACGCUAAUACCGCAUACGAUCUACGGCUGAAAGCAGGGGAUCUUCGGACUUUGCGUGAUUGAUUGAGCCGGUGCCGGAUUAGAUAGUUGGCGAGGUAAAGGCCCACCAAGGCGACGAUCCGUAGCUGGUCUGAGAGGAUGAUCAGCCACACUGGAACUGAGACACGGUCCAGACUCCUACGGGAGGCAGCAGUGGGGAAUAUUGCACAAUGGGCGCAAGCCUGACCCAGCAAUGCCGCGUGAGUGAUGAAGGUCUUCGGGUUGUAAAGCCCUUUUGUUGGGGAAGAAAAGCAGCGUGUGUAUAUCCCGCUGGUCUGACGGUACCUAAAGAAUAAGCACCGGCUAACUUCGUG
This 492-nucleotide ribosomal RNA is filed under the name uncultured bacterium. RNAcentral's name for it is "partial 16S ribosomal RNA". It matches the Rfam family "Bacterial small subunit ribosomal RNA", at positions 29 to 507 of the family's 1533-position model. The record is from RNAcentral.